RNAcentral lists this ribosomal RNA (116 nucleotides) under Heterocephalus glaber (naked mole-rat). Lineage: Eukaryota; Metazoa; Chordata; Mammalia; Rodentia; Bathyergidae. The record is from RNAcentral.
GCCUAUGGCCAUACCACCCAGAAUGCGCUUGAUCUUGUCUGAUCUCAGAAGCUAAUCAGGGUCAGGCCUGGUUAGUACUUGGAUGGGAAAUCUGUUAGGAAGCAACUAGGCAGGUU